ACGAACGCUGGCGGCGCGCCUAACACAUGCAAGUCGAACGAGCGAGAGAGAGCUUGCUUUCUCGAGCGAGUGGCGAACGGGUGAGUAACGCGUGAGGAACCUGCCUCAAAGAGGGGAACAACAGUUGGAAACGACUGCUAAUACCGCAUAAGCCCACGACCCGGCAUCGGGUCGAGGGAAAAGGAGCAAUCCGCUUUGAGAUGGCCUCGCGUCCGAUUAGCUAGUUGGUGAGGUAACGGCCCACCAAGGCGACGAUCGGUAGCCGGACUGAGAGGUUGAACGGCCACAUUGGGACUGGGACACGGCCCAGACUCCUACGGGAGGCAGCAGUGGGGAAUAUUGCACAAUGGGGGAAACCCUGAUGCAGCGACGCCGCGUGGAGGAAGAAGGUCUUCGGAUUGUAAACUCCUGUUGUUGAGGAAGAUAAUGACGGUACUCAACAAGGAAGUGACGGCUAACUACGUGCCAGCCGCCGCAGUAA
RNAcentral lists this ribosomal RNA (481 nucleotides) under uncultured bacterium. RNAcentral describes it as "partial 16S ribosomal RNA". It matches the Rfam family "Bacterial small subunit ribosomal RNA", at positions 29 to 523 of the family's 1533-position model. The record is from RNAcentral.